GUAAAGUUUCCCAUCUUCUUCCAGACAGGCAUCUAUCAGAGCUUGUACAGAGCUUUCUUCCUGGAACAGCAGGAAGGCGUAACCUUGGAAAGGAUGCUGCCUCUAUGGGAUCACAGUAAAUCAAGCACAUUUGACCUACCGAGCUUAACAUGACUGUGGAAAAUACGACUUGCUUUCAGCUUUGUGAGGCCAGUCCACCACAAGAGGUCCAAACCUACGAAAGCUGGCAGUGAUCUCAUCUACAAAAAACAAAUGAGGCACCUUAGAGAGAAUGUGAAGACUGACAC
Long non-coding RNA from Empidonax traillii (willow flycatcher), 287 nucleotides. RefSeq lists it as uncharacterized. Lineage: Eukaryota; Metazoa; Chordata; Aves; Passeriformes; Tyrannidae. The record is from RefSeq and is a predicted model, not a curated record. The transcript is spliced from 3 exons.